CUAAGUCAACCUCAGCACUAACCUUGCGAGUCAUUUCUUUGAUUUGGUCAUUGGUAAAAUACUGACCAGCCGUUUGAGCUUGAGUAAGCAUUUGGCGCAUAAUCUCGGAAACCUGCUGUUGCUUGGAAAGAUUGGUGUUUUCCAUAAUAGACGCAACGCGAGCAGUAGACUCCUUCUGUUGAUAAGCAAGCAUCUCAUUUUGUGCAUAUACCUGGUCUUUCGUAUUCUGGCGUGAAGUCGCCGACUGAAUGCCAGCAAUCUCUUUUUGAGUCUCAUUUUGCAUCUCGGCAAUCUCUUUCUGAUUGUCCAGUUGCAUUUUAGUAAGCUCUUUUUGAUU
This 337-nucleotide ribosomal RNA is filed under the name uncultured prokaryote. RNAcentral describes it as "partial 16S ribosomal RNA". The record is from RNAcentral.